CUUUAUUGGAGAGUUUGAUCCUGGCUCAGGAUGAACGCUGGCGGCGUGCCUAAUACAUGCAAGUCGAGCGAACCGAUUAAGAGCUUGCUCUUAAGAAGUUAGCGGCGGACGGGUGAGUAACACGUAGGUAACCUGCCUAUAAGACUGGGAUAACUCCGGGAAACCGGGGCUAAUACCGGAUAACAUUUUGCACCGCAUGGUGCAAAAU
Molecule: ribosomal RNA, 208 nt
Filed under: Bacillus sp. 71mf
Lineage: Bacteria; Bacillati; Bacillota; Bacilli; Caryophanales; Bacillaceae
Description: 16S rRNA. Bacterial SSU
Rfam family: Bacterial small subunit ribosomal RNA
Source: RNAcentral